AUGAAAGAUCAGGUCUGCCUGGACCUGGACGGCUUCCUGCUCGACCAUGAGUUUCUGGAGGACUACGGCCUCGAGGAAGAGGAUGAGUUGGACAUCGACGGGGAGCCUUUGUUCGAGGACGAGCUCGCCAACCAAGCCGCCGGGGCGAAGCCGAAGCGCAAGAGCAAGCGGACGAAGGCAUACAUGGCAGUUGAGGACAAGCUCCUUUGUGAGUGUUGGAGGGACAUUGGGCAAGACCCGACGGUCGGCGCCGAACAAAAGGCAUCAACCUUUUGGAUUCGUGUCCAUCGUGAGUUCCAUGAACACAAGAAGUUUGCACUGUACCAAAUGCAUAGCAGCAUGGGUGGGAGUCCAUUUCGAAGCGAUGGAGGGUGA
RNAcentral lists this ribosomal RNA (375 nucleotides) under Triticum aestivum (bread wheat). RNAcentral's name for it is "partial small subunit ribosomal RNA". Lineage: Eukaryota; Viridiplantae; Streptophyta; Magnoliopsida; Poales; Poaceae. The record is from RNAcentral.